GGAAUUGUUCGCAAUGGGCGCAAGCCUGACGACGCAACGCCGCGUGGAGGACGAAGAUCUUCGGGUCGUAUACUCCUGUCGAGCGGGAAGAAAACCGCGGGGAUGAAUAAUCCCUGCGGCUGACGGUACCGCUCAAGGCAGCCCCGGCUCACUCCGUGCCAGCAGCCGCGGUACUACGGGGGGGGCAAGCGUUGUUCGGAAUUACUGGGCGUAAAGGGCUCGUAGGGGGCCAACUAAGUCGGAUGUGAAAUCCCCAGGCUCAACCUGGGAACUGCAUCCGAUACUGGAUGGCUUGAAUCCGGGAGAGGGAUGCAGAAUUCCAGGUGUAGCGGUGAAAUGCGUAGAUAUCUGGAGGAAUACCGGUGGCGAAGGCGGCAUCCUGGACCGGCAUUGACGCUGAUGAGCGAAAGCCAGGGGAGCAAAC
This 424-nucleotide ribosomal RNA is filed under the name uncultured bacterium. RNAcentral's name for it is "bacterial SSU rRNA". It matches the Rfam family "Bacterial small subunit ribosomal RNA", at positions 358 to 773 of the family's 1533-position model. The record is from RNAcentral.